ACGAACGCUGGCGGCGUGCUUAACACAUGCAAGUCGAACGGAAAGGCCCUGCUUUUGUGGGGUGCUCGAGUGGCGAACGGGCGAGUAACACGUGAGUAACCUGCCCUUGACUUUGGGAUAACUUCAGGAAACUGGGGCUAAUACCGGAUAGGAGCUCCUGCUGCAUGGUGGGGGUUGGAAAGUUUCGGCGGUUGGGGAUGGACUCGCGGCUUAUCAGCUUGUUGGUGGGGUAGUGGCUUACCAAGGCUUUGACGGGUAGCCGGCCUGAGAGGGUGACCGGCCACAUUGGGACUGAGAUACGGCCCAGACUCCUACGGGAGGCAGCAGUGGGGAAUAUUGCACAAUGGGCGGAAGCCUGAUGCAGCAACGCCGCGUGCGGGAUGACGGCCUUCGGGUUGUAAGCCGCUUUCGCCUGUGACGAAGCGUGAGUGACGGUAAUGGGUAAAGAAGCACCGGCUAACUACGUG
This 467-nucleotide ribosomal RNA is filed under the name uncultured bacterium. RNAcentral's name for it is "partial 16S ribosomal RNA". It matches the Rfam family "Bacterial small subunit ribosomal RNA", at positions 29 to 507 of the family's 1533-position model. The record is from RNAcentral.